This is a long non-coding RNA of Gasterosteus aculeatus aculeatus (three-spined stickleback), 531 nucleotides long. The record is from Ensembl. NCBI's taxonomy places the organism in Eukaryota, Metazoa, Chordata, Actinopteri, Perciformes, Gasterosteidae.
CUUACACCGGACGCUCUGCUUGACGAUCUUGUCUUGCUGGUCUUCAACGGUGAAGUGACUUCAACGUAUCGAGACGCUUGUAUUGGUGCAUUCGGUCUGUAUAUAUAGGCACCGUGAGCCACCGCGAGUCAUCGCGUGCACGCACGCAAACGGGAAACGAUACCCUCAUAUAAUGUCGCUCAUCUGUGACUUCUGCAGCUUUUCCCAGCGCCGCACGUGGAACAAGCCGAGGCGGAGGCGAGCGACCACGAUUCCUCAAAUGUCUCCCCGCGAUCCCGCGAGGAACCUGCUGAUCACCUGAUCCAAAUGAGGCGGGGAAGGGAAACUCCUUGCCUUGAUCCGUGCGCGAGGAAAACAAAACCCCCUCAAAAAAACAGGAGGACUCGUAGAACCGCGGCAGUUGCGCUGCUAAUCUUGCGUAGCCGCGUCUCUGGCUUUCGCAUUACAGCGUCGGAUAAACAAGAACAAAAAGCGAGAGAAGGGAAAGGCCGGUAAUGGAGAGGAAGAAAGAAGAAGACGAGCUGACCUUCG